UACGGAGGGGGCUAGCGUUGUUCGGAAUUACUGGGCGUAAAGCGCACGUAGGCGGCUUUGUAAGUUAGAGGUGAAAGCCCGGGGCUCAACUCCGGAAUUGCCUUUAAGACUGCAUCGCUAGAAUUGUGGAGAGGUAAGUGGAAUUCCGAGUGUAGAGGUGAAAUUCGUAGAUAUUCGGAAGAACACCAGUGGCGAAGGCGACUCACUGGCCCGUUACUGACGCUGAGGCGCGAAAGCGUGGGGAGCAAACGGG
Molecule: ribosomal RNA, 253 nt
Filed under: uncultured bacterium
Lineage: Bacteria
Description: partial 16S ribosomal RNA
Rfam family: Bacterial small subunit ribosomal RNA
Source: RNAcentral